This 332-nucleotide ribosomal RNA is filed under the name uncultured bacterium. RNAcentral describes it as "bacterial SSU rRNA". It matches the Rfam family "Bacterial small subunit ribosomal RNA", at positions 66 to 422 of the family's 1533-position model. The record is from RNAcentral.
ACGGGGAUAGUAAUAUCCUAGUGGCAAACGGGUGAGUAACACGUGGGAAUCUGCCCAGUAGUGGGGAACAACUCCUCGAAAGAGGAGCUAAUACCGCAUACGGUCGCAAGACUAAAGCCUUCGGGCGCUAUUGGAGGAGCCUGCGGCUGAUUAGCUAGUUGGUGGGGUAACGGCCUACCAAGGCGGUGAUCAGUAGCUGGUCUGAGAGGAUGGACAGCCACACUGGGACUGAGAUACGGCCCAGACUCCUACGGGAGGCAGCAGCGAGGAAUUUUCCGCAAUGGGGGAAACCCUGACGGAGCAACGCCGCGUGAACGAAGAAGUCUUUCGGG